Long non-coding RNA from Raphanus sativus (radish), 1232 nucleotides. RefSeq lists it as uncharacterized. The transcript is spliced from 3 exons. Lineage: Eukaryota; Viridiplantae; Streptophyta; Magnoliopsida; Brassicales; Brassicaceae. The record is from RefSeq and is a predicted model, not a curated record.
UAGGGAUGGCAAACUGGGUACUGGACCGCGGGCCCGGCCCGUUAGGGGUUGGUGUGGGGCGGGUUUGGGCCUAAGUAUUCAAUACCCGCAAAAAAGCGGGCCUUACGGGAUGGGCCUUGUGUGGUGCCGGGUUGAAAGCGGGAAAGCCCACCUUAUCCGCGGGAUCCCACCUGUACCGCAUCUAGAAUCCUCGUCUUCUUCACCUGAAACAAAAAGAAAGCAAUGAAACCUCGUUUUCUUCACCGAAGCAUCUCUUUGUCUUCGCGGAACCACCGGAGCUUCUCUUCUUCCUCGAGCCACCACCGGAGCUUCAUCGAUCUACCACCGCAUGCCGUAGCUUCUCUUCUUCGUUGAGCCACCACCGGAGCUUCUCUUCUUCACCGAGCCACCACCGAAGCUUCUCUUCUUCCCCGAGCCACCACCGGAGCUUCUCUUCUUCCUCGAGCCACCACCUUCUCCCGUCACCGACCAGAAGGUAUAUAUUUUCUUCCUCGAGCCACCACCGUAGCUUCUAGACUUUAUAUAUUUUGAUUACAAUUUCUGCAUGUGUACUUCGUAAAUGAUAAAAUAGAAUGGGGCAUUGAAACAUGAUUUUAAUCUGAUAUUAAGUCAUUGUUUUUUAUUCUUUGAAAAGACGAUUAGGAAAUAGAAUGGUGCGUUGAAACUGCUUUGUUAAUACACGUCUCGUGAUUGUGUGUUACUGUCUUCUCUUGAGUAUGUCUCUGAUAUGUAGGAACUAGUAAAACUAGUAAGCAUUAGUAGCAACUGUUUGUAUUGAACUGUGCAAGUGUAUUACUGAUAUGUCUUUUGACAUAGUCUCUGAUAUGUCUUUUUUUUUUCUGGUGUUCUGUAUAUGAAUAUGUUUUGUCUCGAGCUGAUGGUGAACAAGGAGGAAAAGAAGAUACAAAACAGAGCUGAAAUCGUUGUGAUGGAGCUAUGGUGAACAUGGAGACGCCUGGUUCAUCUUCUACUCCUCUUUCAUCCUCUACUCCUCUUAGCAGCUUCAGCCUUCAGGACCUCAGGAAGAAGCAGACAGACUGUCUGAGACAGUGUAUUAUUUAUUAUCCCGCGGGACGGCCCGCAAAGGCUUGCUAAGAAUGCGGUACGGGAUUGGGCAGCUAUGUUGAGGACCGCAUCCCGCGCGGGACAGGCCCGCCGUGUACCGCCAGAAGACGAACCCGCAGCGGGACGGGACGGUACGGGACGGGAGAGCCCAAUUGCCAUCUCUAACU